CCUACGGGUGGCAGCAGUGGGGAAUAUUGGACAAUGGGCGAAAGCCUGAUCCAGCCAUGCCGCGUGUGUGAAGAAGGCCUUCGGGUUGUAAAGCACUUUCAGUGGGGAAGAAAGCCUUGGGGCUAAUACCCUCGAGGAAGGACAUCACCCACAGAAGAAGCACCGGCUAACUCCGUGCCAGCAGCCGCGGUAAUACGGAGGGUGCGAGCGUUAAUCGGAAUUACUGGGCGUAAAGCGCGCGUAGGCGGUCUGAUAAGCCGGUUGUGAAAGCCCCGGGCUCAACCUGGGAACGGCAUCCGGAACUAUCAGGCUAGAGUGCAGGAGAGGAAGGUAGAAUUCCCGGUGUAGCGGUGAAAUGCGUAGAGAUCGGGAGGAAUACCAGUGGCGAAGGCGGCCUUCUGGACUGACACUGACGCUGAGGUGCGAAAGCGUGGGUAGCAAACAGGAUUAGAUACCCGGGUAGUC
This 465-nucleotide ribosomal RNA is filed under the name Vreelandella stevensii. Its description in RNAcentral is "partial 16S ribosomal RNA". It matches the Rfam family "Bacterial small subunit ribosomal RNA", at positions 338 to 795 of the family's 1533-position model. The record is from RNAcentral. Lineage: Bacteria; Pseudomonadati; Pseudomonadota; Gammaproteobacteria; Oceanospirillales; Halomonadaceae.